AAAAUUAUAUACAUUAUAAAUAUAUCAGGGCUGGAGUCAAGACCACCUUUGUCGGUCAAAGACAAGUCCAAGACCAGGACUAGUCGAGACCAAGUCAAGACCGAGUCCAAGAGGUUCGAGUCCAAGACAAACCGAGUCCAGGACAGAAAAAAAAUUUGGCGUUGACCCACAGGUUUCCGAAAUUAUUGCUUUGCAGAAUUUGCAGUCUGCCCUGUGUUUCUUUUUAAGCGCAGUGCUGAGAAAUUCCUGGUGAUUUCUAUAACCAAAUUUGAUUAUGGCAGAAUUGGUGGACAUCUUCGUUUGUUACAGUGUGUGUUAAUCAAUGAAAAUGAGUGGCAGUAACGUUAGCAGGGCACACAGAUGCAGGGCGUGCUGUGCGAAGAUAAUCUAGUGUGUGAUUGGUUAUCAGGUGGCCAGUAUUUCACUUUCCCUCCAAUAUUAUUAUAAACAUAAUAAAGACACCUGGACUCGGUUCAAGACCAAAAGUCAUAUUUGGCAAGACCAGCGGCAGAGACUGAGACAAGUCCAAGUCCA
Sander lucioperca (pikeperch) is the source of this 534-nucleotide long non-coding RNA. RefSeq lists it as uncharacterized. The record is from RefSeq and is a predicted model, not a curated record. NCBI's taxonomy places the organism in Eukaryota, Metazoa, Chordata, Actinopteri, Perciformes, Percidae. The transcript is spliced from 3 exons.